This is a non-coding RNA of Phascolarctos cinereus (koala), 460 nucleotides long. The record is from RefSeq and is a predicted model, not a curated record. NCBI's taxonomy places the organism in Eukaryota, Metazoa, Chordata, Mammalia, Diprotodontia, Phascolarctidae.
GAUGUGAUGCUUUGAUUCGCUGGGAUGAUGCUGACACUGCUUUUAACCUGCUGGAAACAGCUGGCUGCUAAGGCCAGUUGCUAGAGAGAUGGUCCCUUAGUAAAGAGAAUGUGUGCCAUAUGGCAGAGGAUGAGAAGGAUGGCAGAACUUUGAAGGUCAACAAACAGGCCCAGCAGAACCUGAGCAGAGAUAUAGAAAGCAGAACUAUGGAUGACAACAGGGGACCAAUAACGAAUUGGCUGGAAGCCUGAAAAAGGAAGUUAUCAACAUCCAGCUUGGAAGAGGAUCAUCACUGGAUAUGGUCCAGAUGGAUUCACAACUGAAUUUUAUCAAACAUUCAAAGAACAAUUAAUUCUAAUACUACAUAAACUAUUUACAAAAAUAGCAAAAGAAGGGCUAUAAAUCAGUUCAAUGAUAUAGAUAUGAUCUUCAUACACAAACCAGGAAGAGUCAAAACAGA